Molecule: RNA transcript, 3277 nt
Organism: Octopus sinensis (East Asian common octopus)
Lineage: Eukaryota; Metazoa; Mollusca; Cephalopoda; Octopoda; Octopodidae
Gene name: small RNA 2'-O-methyltransferase-like
Exons: 8
Source: RefSeq, a predicted model, not a curated record
UAUAAUUGUAUUCCGGUAUGAACCGGUGUUACCCCAAAACAUUCCCUGCUUCAGUCACACCAGAAUCUGUCCAUUUACCAACAAUUUUUCUUCUUUGGAACAUCAACAUUUACAAUAUGCAUGAUUGUUAAGUGAAAGAAUUUACCAAGUUUUGUUGGUACAAUGUCAGACGCUAUGACAAAUUUCCAAACUCAGUCAAGCAGUGAUAGGAACUGUUGUUCAAACACACACAAUAUAAGCAACGGAACAGAUGAAGAGACGUGCCAAGAGGAGUCUUGUGACAGCAGCGCCACAGAAAACAUAGCCACCAAAGAGGAUGGCAAAAACACAGAUGAAAAGCAUUCCAAAUUUACUGGCUUUGGUAUUCCAUUGAACGUACAGAGAUAUGAGGCUGUGAGGAAGGAAUUAGGAAAAGAAAACGUAGAAUCGUGUAUUGACUUUGGUUCGUCCGAAUGUCGUGUCAUCGAUCAGUUCAGCCAAAUUGCCAGUUUGAAGCAGUUGGCUCUUGUGGAUUUGGACCGAAAUACACUUGUAGCCAAUCUUCACCGCCUCACUCCGCGCCUCAUGCACUACUCCCGCUCCGUCCAGCUGACCGUAAAUGUCUACGAAGGAGAUGUUACCAAAUACGAUAGCCGCAUGAAGAAUUACGAUGCAAUUACCAUGAUUGAACUCAUUGAACAUCUAAUUCCUGAAGAUCUGAAGAAAUGUUGCAACACGGUAUUCAACCAAUUGAGGCCAAAGCUUGUUGUCGUAACCACUCCUAACUGUCAGUUCAAUGUUGUGUUUGGAAUGACUGCUGGUGAGAUGAGGCACUGGGACCAUAAAUAUGAGUGGACGAUGGCGGAAUUCCAAAGUUGGGGAGAUGAAAUGUGUACGUCUUUUGGCUACAAAGUGGAAUACUCGGGUGUUGGAGUGACUGACCUUGUUCCAGACGUGGGCUUCUGUAGUCAGAUUGCUGUUUUCAAACGAGAAGAAGGUUUCUUGAGCAAACCAAGCGUAGAUCUUCAUCAAGAGGUUUAUAAAUAUAUCACCAAAAUAGAUUUUCCCUUUACAACAGAAGAAAGCAAACAGAAUAUUCUUUCGGAAUCGGUUAAAUAUUAUCUUCGGAAGUAUGCCUGCGACUGGAACAUUCUGGGUGAUCAUCCUGAAGAACUGGAUGGACGAGGACUGGAAGAAACCAAUGACAGCAACAGUGUGAAAGUUCCUCUCAGUGAAUUGAUGUUGUACAGCAGUGUAUGGGAAAACUGCAAAGAUCGGAAAGCCUUAGGAGAUUUCUUGCUGUCGUCUGGUUAUACGUUGUCGUCUGAUGGCGAAAGUGUUCUGGUGGAGAAGAUACAGUUUGAAAGCAACAACUACAGCAGUAGCUCAGAUGAAAGUUUGAAUGAAGAUGACCAAUACGGUGAUGCUGAAGACGAUUAUUCCAGGAGUUUGCUGAUUGGCGGUACUUACAAAGUUCCUUGUAUCGAAGAACAAUGGGAUUAAUGGUCACUAUUCAAACAUUCAUUUGCUAUUGAGUUGUUUUUUUUAUUGUUUGUUUUUCACCUGCAAUGUGAUGGUUUGCUUUUCUCAGAGAUCCUGAUGAUAGAUAAGAGUUUUACCUGAAAGUUGAGAGGUGUGGUACUUGAUCAAUAUUACCUGUUAGUUUCGAGAAGCUGUGAUGUGUUGUUUGUAAGAGGUGUUUUAAUCAAACAUUUGUAACUCUAAUCUGUUGGAGAUUAGUCUAAAGUUACUGGUGUCCUAUCCAGGGAGAGUGGUUUCACUUCUGAUCUACAAAACAUUACAAUGUUCUGAGCUAAACAUUGUAUUUGUGAAGCCUUGUCCUCAUAGAGAUAUUUAUUUAUCUAUUUAUUUGAUAUUUUAUUGUGUUUUGUCGCAGUUUGGUGCUGAAUUAUGGAUAAUAUUAAUAAUCAGGGGAGAUGAAAGAAUUAAGUAAAAUGAAAGAUAAAAAAACAAAACCAAAUAUAUAUCUGCGUUGAUAUUUUAAAUAACAAAGGAGAAAAUAUAUUUUAAUUUUUAUCACUAUAUUUAUUUACUAAUCUAUCAAGCAAGUCAUCUAUUUAUCUUUCUACCUAUUUGUCUUCUGAUUGUCUUCCAGUGUCCCUUUGCCUAUCUUUUACAUAUCUUCUAGAGCUAUAUUCCUACAUCAAUCAAUCACUCAAUCAAUCAAUCAAUCAGUCAAUCAAUGAAUUUUUUUCUUUAUCUGCCCAAUCAUCCAUCUGCUUAUUUAUCGCAUCCUCCACUACUACUACUACUACCACUACUACCACCACCACCACCAGCAACAGCACUAAAACUACCACGGCUGUCACCACCACCAUUAUCUGAAGCUCUUGUCUCUUGGAACAAUUCAAUAAUUCUACACAAUACCUCAUAUCAACAUAUCAACACUGAAAUUUUCGGCUGCAACCAGAAAGUUCUUAGUGUGGCUCCACUUCUUGGACAUUCUUAUUAUAAAUAAAUAACUAAAAGAAAAUGAAAAUAUGACUAAAAGCUGGUCAUCGCUUCAGAGCCAUGUUAUAUCAGCAAUAUCAUCAUCAUCAUCAUUGUUUAACUGCCAUCCCCCAUGCUGGCAUGACUCGGAUGGUUUUUGACAGGAUCUAACUACUCAGAGGGCUUCAAUGAGCUCCAGUAUCUGCUUUGACAUGGUUUCUAUGGCUGGGUGCCCUUCCUAAUGCCAACCACUUUGCAAUGUGUACUGGGUGCUUUUGUCAUUGGCAUACUCGUGUGGUUGCCGAUUAGCUCACUAGAUAUGACCCCAUAACUGAUGGAAGUGCAGUAUUGAGGGCAGUGACUUUAUGCCAGGAGUUGAGAGGCUAAAGUAUGAUAGGGGGACACAAAGACACAAACAGGUGUCUUGCUGAAGAGGGGAUACAUGGUUGCCCCAGCUGGAGGAAGAGAGAAGACGAUGGUGGUGAUGAGGUGUUGGGGUAUAUCCUCAGGAUACAAUAAAUGGUUAAAAAGAAAAUAGGAAUAGAAUUGAGGAUGGCUGGGUGGUAUGUUUUUAAGAGUGUGAAAGGAGAAUGAUAGAUGGUUAGAGAUGGGUGAGAGGGGUGAAUGCAGUGAUCACAGGUGAACAUAGUUGGAGAUAUGGUCAAUGGUGAAUCUCAGUUUGGGAGAGAAGCGAGAAGAAAUAGGACUGGGUGAGGAGGAAGAAGGUGAUAAGUAAAAAAGUAAAGUAAAGUUACCUUCUCGAAUCAUGCCGACUCAUAAGGGCCAGUUUUCCAGUUUAAUAGCAUAUAAGUUUCCCCACCUGGACAAGAUGCUGGUCCAUCACAGG